RNAcentral lists this ribosomal RNA (698 nucleotides) under Arthrobacter humicola. RNAcentral describes it as "bacterial SSU rRNA". It matches the Rfam family "Bacterial small subunit ribosomal RNA", at positions 89 to 799 of the family's 1533-position model. Lineage: Bacteria; Bacillati; Actinomycetota; Actinomycetes; Micrococcales; Micrococcaceae. The record is from RNAcentral.
GGAUUAGUGGCGAACGGGUGAGUAACACGUGAGUAACCUGCCCUUAACUCUGGGAUAAGCCUGGGAAACUGGGUCUAAUACCGGAUAUGACUCCUCAUCGCAUGGUGGGGGGUGGAAAGCUUUAUUGUGGUUUUGGAUGGACUCGCGGCCUAUCAGCUUGUUGGUGAGGUAAUGGCUCACCAAGGCGACGACGGGUAGCCGGCCUGAGAGGGUGACCGGCCACACUGGGACUGAGACACGGCCCAGACUCCUACGGGAGGCAGCAGUGGGGAAUAUUGCACAAUGGGCGAAAGCCUGAUGCAGCGACGCCGCGUGAGGGAUGACGGCCUUCGGGUUGUAAACCUCUUUCAGUAGGGAAGAAGCGAAAGUGACGGUACCUGCAGAAGAAGCGCCGGCUAACUACGUGCCAGCAGCCGCGGUAAUACGUAGGGCGCAAGCGUUAUCCGGAAUUAUUGGGCGUAAAGAGCUCGUAGGCGGUUUGUCGCGUCUGCCGUGAAAGUCCGGGGCUCAACUCCGGAUCUGCGGUGGGUACGGGCAGACUAGAGUGAUGUAGGGGAGACUGGAAUUCCUGGUGUAGCGGUGAAAUGCGCAGAUAUCAGGAGGAACACCGAUGGCGAAGGCAGGUCUCUGGGCAUUAACUGACGCUGAGGAGCGAAAGCAUGGGGAGCGAACAGGAUUAGAUACCCUGGUAGUCCAUG